This is a non-coding RNA of Podarcis lilfordi (Lilford's wall lizard), 68 nucleotides long. The record is from the annotation of a GenBank genome assembly. NCBI's taxonomy places the organism in Eukaryota, Metazoa, Chordata, Lepidosauria, Squamata, Lacertidae.
CUGUAGCUCAGUGGUAGAGCACCUGCUUUGCAUGCAGAAGGUCCCAGGUUGAAUUCCUGACAACUGGU